CCUACGGGUGGCAGCAGUGGGGAAUAUUGGACAAUGGGCGAAAGCCUGAUACAGCCAUGCCGCGUGUGUGAAGAAGGCCUUCGGGUUGUAAAGCACUUUCAGUGGGGAAGAAAGCCUUGGGGCUAAUACCCUCGAGGAAGGACAUCACCCACAGAAGAAGCACCGGCUAACUCCGUGCCAGCAGCCGCGGUAAUACGGAGGGUGCGAGCGUUAAUCGGAAUUACUGGGCGUAAAGCGCGCGUAGGCGGUCUGAUAAGCCGGUUGUGAAAGCCCCGGGCUCAACCUGGGAACGGCAUCCGGAACUGUCAGGCUAGAGUGCAGGAGAGGAAGGUAGAAUUCCCGGUGUAGCGGUGAAAUGCGUAGAGAUCGGGAGGAAUACCAGUGGCGAAGGCGGCCUUCUGGACUGACACUGACGCUGAGGUGCGAAAGCGUGGGUAGCAAACAGGAUUAGAUACCCCAGUAGUC
Molecule: ribosomal RNA, 465 nt
Filed under: Vreelandella stevensii
Lineage: Bacteria; Pseudomonadati; Pseudomonadota; Gammaproteobacteria; Oceanospirillales; Halomonadaceae
Description: partial 16S ribosomal RNA
Rfam family: Bacterial small subunit ribosomal RNA
Source: RNAcentral